Molecule: non-coding RNA, 2744 nt
Organism: Microcebus murinus (gray mouse lemur)
Lineage: Eukaryota; Metazoa; Chordata; Mammalia; Primates; Cheirogaleidae
Source: RefSeq, a predicted model, not a curated record
UUUUUAAAUGUUCACAAUUUUAUUUUGAUAAAUGAAAAAUUGGGAAAAUCAUAUCACAGCUGUGGGCUAAAAUUGCUGUGCCCGUUCAUCUGUGGCUAUUGACUAUAGUCGAUCCUGGUCCCGAAGUGGUUAAAAAGUAAAAGUCCAUUUUCUACUUGCUUUUCAGAGCAUUAUGGUCAGGCAUAUUUUUAAUAAUAUACCUCCUGUGUCUUCAGGGGAAUAGGUUCAAACAUAGGUGCUUUCACUUAGGAUUGAACUUGGAAUCAAAAAAAAAAAGAAAAAAAUGUGUUUUUUCUUUUCUUUUUAAAUGCCUGUUAACCAGGCAUCACUUAAGACAUGCCUGGGGUUAAUAGCUUUGAAUGCUGUUCAGUUUGGCCUGCUGAUUUGAUGAGGCCAGUCACCACUCUUAAGUUUAUAUUUUCCCUUCUCUGUUAAAUGAGUGUAAUCCACGUCAUCUUUAGCUUCAACAAAGCAUGGAAAGCUCUGUCUCUGUGUGAGUUUUUAGUGUUCAUUUUUUUAUGAUUUUGUUUAGGUGGUGGGUUAUAUGAUACCAUUUGAAAAAUGGUAUUAUUAUUCUGUUUGGGAAGCAAGCAAACAUCAAUUCAAAUAUUAUUAUUUUUACUUUUACUCUGUAAACUAAAGCCUUGUCUUUUGUAUCCUUAUAAGAGCAACCACUCAUUAUCUGUUUAAAAUGACUGCUUAUCCAUUAUAACAGUAAGCACGUCUUCCUAUGGUUUCCCUCCUGUACUUUUUGAACUGGCACACCUGAUCUCUAUUCAUCCUUACAUAAUAGUCCACUAGACAGAGCCUUUGAGUAAAGAUAUGCUAAUUCACAAAGGGAGAUCAUAAAUAGGGAGAAACUUCAAGAUCCUCUCUAAUAUGAUCAUUCUGUAUACAACAAAUAUUGAAGUCAUUGGCAUUAUCUGGUCUGAUGAAAACUACACAACUCAUUAGAAAUAACCAGAAAUAGAAUCUAAGUCUUCUGACUUGAAUCUUGAAUCCUUCUCUAGUCUAAGAUACUUCCAUUUGGAAAGAAUUUAGAUAUGCUUUUUAAAGUAAAUGGUUUGUAAUAAAACACUAGUGAUUUUAUCUUGCCAGUUAUCUCUUUUUAGAACAACAAUAAUAAUAUCUUCCUUUGAUUAAUCACUAGAUUUCUUUUCCAAAAGGAGUCUCUUAGAGUAGGUAUAUUUUCAUUGAAUAUACAUUUUUUCUUUUAGACUACAGGAUAUAUAAUCACUAUUAGCUUCAUAUGUGAAAAUUAUGGUAUUCAUGUCUAUAAGUAAACACAUACCCAGGAUCCAAAUCUUCAAUGUAAGAUAAUUAGAUUUUCUAUAUGUUGUUUUAUGAGAGACAAAAUAAACAUAUUAGUAUCAAAAACAAAUCACUCAAAUCAACUUUUAGGGUUGUCAAAGGGUCAGUUUAGACUCUACAACAUGCCUUCCCCUGGUUUCCACAUGAAUCCUGGCUCUGGUGAUUCAUGUUCCUAAUGGGAUCUAAGGACCUGUAAGGUCCCAAAUUGCCCUCUGAAUUAUCAAAGAAAUCUUGCUGUUUAAAAACAGAUGUACAUCUGUCCUUAUUCCACCAAGGAUUUGAAUUGGCUGGUUCACUUUUUUUUAGGAAGAAGCAUAUUUUUCCUGGUUUUUCUUUUUAAAUAGCGGUCAUCUGUAUAUGAAAUAUAGUGAAUCAGUUAUUCAAAGAACUAUUUUAUCCAGGAUAUUCCUGCCUAUAAUCUCUCUGAGUAAAAGGAGCCAACAGGAGCUCUGUGGAUGCUACCAAACAGCAUAGAGUUCUGCCUUGAUGGAAUUAUAGCAGUGUUUGGUACUAUAAAUUGUUCUAUAUAUCUUCCCCUAUAAUCAUGCACUGCACAGAGUCACCCCUCUAGCACUGGAAAAAUGUCAGGGAAACAAAGCCUGCAUAUAUACAUUGACUCUUUAUUCAUGGUCACCCCAUUUUUAUUUGCAGUUCAGUUUUGGUUGUGUUAUUUUAGAAUAAUGCAGUGCCUUUUUAUCCUUCCUGCAUGAUUACCAACUACCAUUUUUAUUUUCAUCUUCCUUUGUACUUUAUCUCUCCGAGCAUACUGUUGUUUAACAGUUGCUUUGUGUAAGAUACGAGCCUUACAUGCCAACUUUGAUGUGGCAGAAUGAAUCAUGUUACUGUUGAUCUCACCCUGAACAGAAUAGCCAUCUUCAAAUAGGAAGAAGUUUCUAGCUUCAGGUUGUUUUAGCCCUGCAUGCCUUGCCUAGCCUGCCGUGUAAAGUCAGUUGCUUCACUCCAAACAGCACUGUAUUAAUAUGCACAACAUGACCAUUUUCAGUAGAAGGUUAUUAGAAUGCUAGUUUGUAUCCUCUAGUGAAUGAAAUGAUGUGUGAUUAUGAAGUCAUCAGGCAUGGACCAGUAAGACUCCAGAGAGCCUGCCCCCUCCAAGGUCCUCGGGGUGCCAUUGAUUGGUGGCCAUGUGUUUGUGCCCGAUAGACUGUGAAAUGGUGUGUUGCUACACGGCUGUGUUGCACCUGCGCCCCACCGAGCCCAGUGGAUCAUCGUCAAGAGAUUGGGAGCUUACUGUAAUUGAAAAUCACUUGCUUAGGGAAAAAAAAAUCUAAUUAUAAAAUGUACAGUUUGAGUGUUUGUUUUUUUUUUUAAUAACUCUGCACCCCCACGUUCCUCCUCCUUUUCCUGUACUGUUUCCUGUUUUUGUCAUGGAUAUUAACUGAAAUGCACUAAACACAAUAAAGCUGUUUAUGUCA